Molecule: long non-coding RNA, 1068 nt
Filed under: Parus major (Great Tit)
Lineage: Eukaryota; Metazoa; Chordata; Aves; Passeriformes; Paridae
Description: lncRNA (ENSPMJG00000004829.1)
Source: RNAcentral
CCAUGCGUGUGGCCAGGUGUGGCCAGGUGUGGCUAGGUGUGCUCAGGUGUGCCCAGGUGUGCUCAGGUGUGCCCAGGUGGGUGCCAUAGGCAUGCCCAGGUGUGGCCAGGUGCACCCAGGUAUGUGCAGGUGGGUGCUGUAGGUAUGCCCAGAUGUGCCCAGGUGUGUCCAGGUGUGCCCAGGUGCACCCAGCUGUGCCCAGCUGUGCCCAGGUGCACCCAGGUGUGCCCACAUAGGUGCCGUAGGUGCACCCAGGUGUGCCCAGAUGAGCCCAGGUGCACCCAGGUGUGCCCAGGUGCACCCAGGUGUGCCCACAUAGGUGCCGUAGGUGCACCCAGGUGUGCCCAGCUGUGCCCAGGUGUGCUCAGGUGUGCCCACAUAGGUGCCGUAGGUGUGCCCAGGUGUGCCCAGGUGUGUCCAGGUGUGCCCAGAUGGGUGCUGUAGGUGUACCCAGGUGUGCCCAGGUGCACCCAGCUGUGCCCAGGUGUGAUCAGAUGUGCCCAGGUGUGCCCAGGUGUGCCCAGAUGGGUGCCGUAGGUGUGCCCUGGUGUGCCCAGGUGCACCCAGCUGUGUCCAGCUGUGCCCAGGUGUGCCCAGAUGGGUGCUGUAGGUGUACCCAGGUGUGCCCAGGUGUCCCCAGGUGUGCCCAGGUGCACCCAGCUGUGCCCAGCUGUGCCCAGGUGUGCCCAGGUAUGCCCAGCUGUGCCCAGGUGUGCCGGGCACAGCACAGGACAGGGUUGGGGCAGCAGGCUGAGUCUGCAGCAGGGGCGUGUCCCGAGCCGAGCUCACCUGUGCGCAGGUGUGCGGCACCCCCGAGUACAUCGCGCCCGAGGUGAUCCUGCGCCAGGGCUACGGGAAGCCCGUGGACUGGUGGGCCAUGGGCAUCGUCCUCUACGAGUUCCUGGUGGGCUGCGUCCCCUUCUUCGGGGACACCCCCGAGGAGCUCUUCGGACAGGUGAUCUCAGACGAGAUCCUGUGGCCGGAGGGGGACGAGGCUCUGCCCCCGGACGCGCAGCACCUCAUCUCCUGCCUCCUGCAGCCGGACCCUCUGCGGCGCCUCGGGGCAGG